AUUGAACGCUGGCGGCAGGCCUAACACAUGCAAGUCGAGCGGAGCGGCGGACGGGUGAGUAAUGCCUAGGAAUCUGCCUGGUAGUGGGGGAUAACGUCCGGAAACGGGCGCUAAUACCGCAUACUAUCAGAUGAGCCUAGGUCGGAUUAGCGAGUUGUGGGGGUAAAGGCCUACCAAGGCGACGACCCGUAACUGGUCUGAGAGGAUGAUCAGUCACACUGGAACUGAGACACGUUCCAGACUCCUACGGGAGGCAGCAGUGUGGAAUAUUGGACAAGGGGUAAAAGCCUGAUCCAGCCAUGCCGCGUGUGUGAAGAAGGUCUUCGGAUUGUAAAGCACUUUAAGUUGGGAGGCGUUACCAGCAGAAUAAGCACCGGCUAACUCCGUGCCAGCAGCCGCGGUAAUAC
RNAcentral lists this ribosomal RNA (407 nucleotides) under uncultured bacterium. RNAcentral describes it as "partial 16S ribosomal RNA". It matches the Rfam family "Bacterial small subunit ribosomal RNA", at positions 30 to 526 of the family's 1533-position model. The record is from RNAcentral.